Long non-coding RNA from Columba livia (rock pigeon), 2438 nucleotides. RefSeq lists it as uncharacterized. Lineage: Eukaryota; Metazoa; Chordata; Aves; Columbiformes; Columbidae. The transcript has 2 exons. The record is from RefSeq and is a predicted model, not a curated record.
AACUGCAACCACAUGUUCAACCACAGUAUCCUUCCUGUUACUUGUGGAAUGCGAACUGCCAAGAAAUAACCUUUAGAAGGAGGAAAGGAAAAAAGGCAAACCCAACAACAAACAGGACAGUUUUACCUCCAAGAGAGACAAAAACAACCCCAGCGCUGAAUAUAUUUUGUGGGCCCAAAAUCCAGCGUUCUUUUCUGGUUCAGCAAAGGCACCGAACUAUGCAAGGUAAUUUUUGCCCAGCUGUACCUACCGGUGAAAGAAGCGAGAUCUGCUUUGUUCACAGAAAACAAGAACCUGGCUGCGUGGGUUGCACGGCACUUUCACUGUUUAGAUGAAAAUGGAUUGGAUUUUUGGUCUGUGUUUUCCUAGGAGGAAGCAACAAGACAUGGCGUUUUUAAUGCCAUUUUUUCCUCUCGGUUUCACAAAAAGCCAAACCCUGCUCAAGAAAACACCCUUGCGAAGGCCCCGGGGCUGUGGAUCGGGUCCUUGGACUAAUCUCCCGGACUUGCCAUCCCCGCAGUUUACAAGACUUUCUCCUCCUCCCCUGACCGAUUUUGGAUUUUAACUCGUUGUCAUGUGCUUGGACAAGAACAUAUUUAUAAUUCUUCCUGUGAUAUUGUUUUAUCUGUGAGUUAGGCUUCCAUUAGCCGGAUAUUCAGCAAUAUCAAGUAAGGCCAGCGGAAAAAUAAUCAGGAGAAGGCAAGCUCGCGCAGCUGCACAGUAAAUCUGUGGUGCUGGUUCAUGUUAGGGUAGGGGAGACACAAGAAGCCCUAUGUUUCCACCAGGACGAACAUCACCCAGUGAAACAACGAUAUUGAACUUAAAAGAGACAAGACUGUUACAAACUAGAAUGAGGAGAACAGACCUGAAGAAGUAGAUGCUCUUUUGCAAGAGCGUUUGCUGCUCUCCCAGACACAAACGUGUUGCUAUCGCUUGCAAAUUCAAUGCUGUAUAUAAGUGAAAUUAAACGUGUCCUUGUUAGCAGCAUCUCCUUUAAACCACACACAUUUAUUUUUGAUUACCUGGAGUACGGAAACCAAGCAGUGGAAAAUAAAAUGAACAAAGCAUGAAGAAAACCAAAACGAUCUACCAAACAAUAGCCUGAGCCCUGUUUCUUUUUAGAAAGCGCAGUUUUCAGGCGCUUUAAAAAGAUUUCCCAGGAUAGGCUCAGUGUUAUCCAAGAGUUUUUCGGCGCUGACACAACAUAACUGUUAUCAUCCGUGGGACUCAGGGGACUGUUCUUUUUGACAGGGCCUUUCAUGAAGUCAACAAACUCGUCUGAAACAAGCCAUAAAUUACAUUUGGCUGCACAUCAGCUUGGCCGGAGUGUUCUCUCAGUGCUGUCAUAAGUUUUGGGGAAAGAGGAUGGCACCACAGACCAAUGUUUAGCUGUCAGGGGUUAUUUAGUUCUCAAUUUCAAACCAAAGCAUCCCCAUAACAUUGUCUCUGAUGCAUAAACAUAUGUUAAACAACAAUCAAGAUGUUCAGAGGCUUUCCCACAAGUAAACACCCCCAUUCUGGAUCCUCAGUAAUGGCUUCAGAAAUAAGGGAUUUGAUACGGGUCUCAUUGCUAAAUCCGGGGAUUGUCAGAAGAUCAUCUCCCCACUCUCGCCUCCUGUAGCAGUAUAUGGAGAGAGAAGGGCUUUCUGAGAGCUGGGUUCCCAGCCUUAUAUCGCUCUCUAGAUUAUUAUUAUUAUUAACAUCCUGAAUUGCAGCCAGAACGGACUGAAAGCACAAUAACCGUCUACUCACCGCCUGCUGAGUCAGCAGCUGAAGCUGCAGCCGAUGCAGCCAAACAAGUCACCGCACGCAGACGUCGUCACCCUCGGAAGCGCUCGGUUACUCAUUCUAUAUCGAUUUUUCCUGCCCGUGUCCCAACCCCGGGUGUCGCACGGAGGCGUCACCACACCCCUUGGAGCUGGAGGUCAGGAGGGUGGCAGGGACACCACAGUUCCAGGGGAAAAAGGUGAAUCCUCCGGGGGCUUUGGCAUCACCUCAGAGAAAACAGAUUCCACCAAAGAGGCAGGGAGAGACACCAAGUUGAGACUGGAGCCCUGGAACAGUCCUUAGUGGGGGAAAGUCAAUUCUUUCCUGUUCUUUCUAGCAGGACGAGCACCGUGCACGCCGGCCGGGCUGCCUGCUGCGGUGCGGGACUGGUAGACCUCACACCCCAGAGCAGGCUCGCACGCUGACACCGCUACCAGCAGCCUCAAGGAAACGGAAAAUUCAACUCCCUGCCUCAGCGGGAACUUGUUUCCCCUUUAGUCCAGUUAAAUAAUCUGUGCCAGACAUUACUUUUGGCCUUUAGACGCAUAGAAGUCCGUCUGAAGGCUGUUAUGACUUCAUUUUUCUUUGUCUCUGAAGCACAGAGAAGAGCACCAAAUGUUGAGCCUUUGAAAAAACAACAAGAUAAAUAAACAUUUGCGAGUAUGAACUAG